UACGGGGGGGGCAAGCGUUGUUCGGAAUUACUGGGCGUAAAGGGCGCGUAGGCGGCCUACUAAGUCGGACGUGAAAUCCCUCGGCUCAACCGAGGAACUGCGUCCGAUACUGGCAGGCUGGAAUCCGGGAGAGGGAUGCGGAAUUCCAGGUGUAGCGGUGAAAUGCGUAGAUAUCUGGAGGAACACCGGUGGCGAAGGCGGCAUCCUGGACCGGUAUUGACGCUGAGGCGCGAAAGCCAGGGGAGCAAACGGG
This 253-nucleotide ribosomal RNA is filed under the name uncultured bacterium. Its description in RNAcentral is "partial 16S ribosomal RNA". It matches the Rfam family "Bacterial small subunit ribosomal RNA", at positions 524 to 776 of the family's 1533-position model. The record is from RNAcentral.